Molecule: ribosomal RNA, 460 nt
Filed under: uncultured bacterium
Lineage: Bacteria
Description: partial 16S ribosomal RNA
Rfam family: Bacterial small subunit ribosomal RNA
Source: RNAcentral
CCUACGGGUGGCAGCAGUGAGGAAUAUUGGUCAAUGGGCGCGAGCCUGAACCAGCCAAGUAGCGUGAAGGAUGACUGCCCUACGGGUUGUAAACUUCUUUUAUAAAGGAAUAAAGUGAGGCACGUGUGCCUUUUUGUAUGUACUUUAUGAAUAAGGAUCGGCUAACUCCGUGCCAGCAGCCGCGGUAAUACGGAGGAUCCGAGCGUUAUCCGGGUUUAUUGGGGUUAAAGGGAGAGUAGAUGGGUUGAUAAGUCAGUUGUGAAAGUUUGCGGCUUAACCGUAAAAUUGCAAUUGAUACUGGCAGCCUUGAGUACAGGUGAGGUAGGCGGAAUUCGUGGUGUAGCGGUGAAAUGCUUAGAGAUCACGAAGAACUCCGAUUGCGAAGGCAGCUUACUAAACUGCCACUGACAUUGAUGCUCGAAAGUGUGGGUAUCAAACAGGAUUAGAUACCCUUGUAGUC